GACGAACGCUGGCGGCGUGCUUAACACAUGCCAGUCGAACGGCAAGGCCCUGCUUUUGUGGGGUGCUCGAGUGGCGAACGGGUGAGUAACACGUGAGUAACCUGCCCUUGACUUUGGGAUAACUCCAGGAAACUGGGGCUAAUACCGGAUAGGAGCUCCUGCUGCAUGGUGGGGGUUGGACAGUUUCGGCGGUAGGGGAUGGACUCGGGGGUUAUCAGCUUGUUGGUGGGGUAGUGGCAUACCAAGGCUUUGAAGGGUAGCCGGCCUGAGAGGGUGACCGGCCACAAUGGUACUGAGAGAGGGCGCAGACUCCAACGGGGGGCAGCAGGGGGGAGUAUGGCACAGUGGGCGGGAGCGUGAUGCAGCGACGCCGCGUGCGGGAUGACGGCCUUGGGGUUGUAAACCGCUUUCGCCUGUGACGAAGCGUGAGUGACGGUAAUGGGUAAAGAAGCACCGGCUAACUACGUG
RNAcentral lists this ribosomal RNA (468 nucleotides) under uncultured bacterium. RNAcentral describes it as "partial 16S ribosomal RNA". It matches the Rfam family "Bacterial small subunit ribosomal RNA", at positions 28 to 507 of the family's 1533-position model. The record is from RNAcentral.